UCCUGACUGACCGAUAGUGAACCAGUACCGUGAGGGAAAGGCGAAAAGAACCCCGGCGAGGGGAGUGAAAAAGAACCUGAAACCGUGUACGUACAAGCAGUGGGAGCACGCUUAGGCGUGUGACUGCGUACCUUUUGUAUAAUGGGUCAGCGACUUAUAUUCUGUAGCAAGGUUAACCGAAUAGGGGAGCCGAAGGGAAACCGAGUCUUAACUGGGCGUUAAGUUGCAGGGUAUAGACCCGAAACCCGGUGAUCUAGCCAUGGGCAGGUUGAAGGUUGGGUAACACUAACUGGAGGACCGAACCGACUAAUGUUGAAAAAUUAGCGGAUGACUUGUGGCUGGGGGUGAAAGGCCAAUCAAACCGGGAGAUAGCUGGUUCUCCCCGAAAGCUAUUUAGGUAGCGCCUCGUGAAUUCAUCUCCGGGGGUAGAGCACUGUUUCGGCAAGGGGGUCAUCCCGACUUACCAACCCGAUGCAAACUGCGAAUACCGGAGAAUGUUAUCACGGGAGACACACGGCGGGUGCUAACGUCCGUCGUGAAGAGGGAAACAACCCAGACCGCCAGCUAAGGUCCCAAAGUCAUGGUUAAGUGGGAAACGAUGUGGGAAGGCCCAGACAGCCAGGAUGUUGGCUUAGAAGCAGCCAUCAUUUAAAGAAAGCGUAAUAGCUCACUGGUCGAGUCGGCCUGCGCGGAAGAUGUAACGGGGCUAAACCAUGCACCGAAGCUGCGGCAGCGACGCUUAUGCGUUGUUGGGUAGGGGAGCGUUCUGUAAGCCUGCGAAGGUGUGCUGUGAGGCAUGCUGGAGGUAUCAGAAGUGCGAAUGCUGACAUAAGUAACGAUAAAGCGGGUGAAAAGCCCGCUCGCCGGAAGACCAAGGGUUCCUGUCCAACGUUAAUCGGGGCAGGGUGAGUCGACCCCUAAGGCGAGGCCGAAAGGCGUAGUCGAUGGGAAACAGGUUAAUAUUCCUGUACUUGGUGUUACUGCGAAGGGGGGACGGAGAAGGCUAUGUUGGCCGGGCGACGGUUGUCCCGGUUUAAGCGUGUAGGCUGGUUUUCCAGGCAAAUCCGGAAAAUCAAGGCUGAGGCGUGAUGACGAGGCACUACGGUGCUGAAGCAACAAAUGCCCUGCUUCCAGGAAAAGCCUCUAAGCAUCAGGUAACAUCAAAUCGUACCCCAAACCGACACAGGUGGUCAGGUAGAGAAUACCAAGGCGCUUGAGAGAACUCGGGUGAAGGAACUAGGCAAAAUGGUGCCGUAACUUCGGGAGAAGGCACGCUGAUAUGUAGGUGAAGUCCCUUGCGGAUGGAGCUGAAAUCAGUCGAAGAUACCAGCUGGCUGCAACUGUUUAUUAAAAACACAGCACUGUGCAAACACGAAAGUGGACGUAUACGGUGUGACGCCUGCCCGGUGCCGGAAGGUUAAUUGAUGGGGUCAGCGCAAGCGAAGCUCUUGAUCGAAGCCCCGGUAAACGGCGGCCGUAACUAUAACGGUCCUAAGGUAGCGAAAUUCCUUGUCGGGUAAGUUCCGACCUGCACGAAUGGCGUAAUGAUGGCCAGGCUGUCUCCACCCGAGACUCAGUGAAAUUGAACUCGCUGUGAAGAUGCAGUGUACCCGCGGCAAGACGGAAAGACCCCGUGAACCUUUACUAUAGCUUGACACUGAACAUUGAGCCUUGAUGUGUAGGAUAGGUGGGAGGCUUUGAAGUGUGGACGCCAGUCUGCAUGGAGCCGGCCUUGAAAUACCACCCUUUAAUGUUUGAUGUUCUAACGUGGACCCGUGAUCCGGGUUGCGGACAGUGUCUGGUGGGUAGUUUGACUGGGGCGGUCUCCUCCUAAAGAGUAACGGAGGAGCACGAAGGUUGGCUAAUCCUGGUCGGACAUCAGGAGGUUAGUGCAAUGGCAUAAGCCAGCUUGACUGCGAGCGUGACGGCGCGAGCAGGUGCGAAAGCAGGUCAUAGUGAUCCGGUGGUUCUGAAUGGAAGGGCCAUCGCUCAACGGAUAAAAGGUACUCCGGGGAUAACAGGCUGAUACCGCCCAAGAGUUCAUAUCGACGGCGGUGUUUGGCACCUCGAUGUCGGCUCAUCACAUCCUGGGGCUGAAGUAGGUCCCAAGGGUAUGGCUGUUCGCCAUUUAAAGUGGUACGCGAGCUGGGUUUAGAACGUCGUGAGACAGUUCGGUCCCUAUCUGCCGUGGGCGCUGGAGAACUGAGGGGGGCUGCUCCUAGUACGAGAGGACCGGAGUGGACGCAUCACUGGUGUUCGGGUUGUCAUGCCAAUGGCACUGCCCGGUAGCUAAAUGCGGAAGAGAUAAGUGCUGAAAGCAUCUAAGCACGAAACUUGCCCCGAGAUGAGUUCUCCCUGACCCUUUAAGGGUCCUGAAGGAACGUUGAAGACGACGACGUUGAUAGGCCGGGUGUGUAAGCGCAGCGAUGCGUUGAGCUAACCGGUACUAAUGAACCGUGAGGCUUAACCUUACAACGC
RNAcentral lists this ribosomal RNA (2478 nucleotides) under Shigella sonnei. RNAcentral's name for it is "partial 23S ribosomal RNA". It matches the Rfam family "Bacterial large subunit ribosomal RNA", at positions 474 to 2925 of the family's 2925-position model. The record is from RNAcentral. Lineage: Bacteria; Pseudomonadati; Pseudomonadota; Gammaproteobacteria; Enterobacterales; Enterobacteriaceae.